RNAcentral lists this ribosomal RNA (462 nucleotides) under uncultured bacterium. RNAcentral's name for it is "partial 16S ribosomal RNA". It matches the Rfam family "Bacterial small subunit ribosomal RNA", at positions 28 to 506 of the family's 1533-position model. The record is from RNAcentral.
GAUGAACGCUGACAGAAUGCUUAACACAUGCAAGUCUUUGGCGAAGCUGUGCUUGCACAGCCUAGCCAAGGCGGACGGGUGAGUAACGCGUAAGGAACUUGCCCUGCAGUCAGGGAUAACAGACGGAAACGACUGAUAAGACCUGGUAAAGUCAGGCGGACUCAUGUCCAGCCUGAUGAAAAGAGAUGCUGCAGGAGAGCCUUGCGUCCUAUUAGCUUGUUGGUGGGGUAACGGCCCACCAAGGCGAUGAUAGGUAGCCGGCCUGAGAGGGUGGACGGCCACAAGGGGACUGAGAUACGGCCCUUACUCCUACGGGAGGCAGCAGUGGGGAAUAUUGGACAAUGGGGGCAACCCUGAUCCAGCAAUUCUGUGUGCACGAUGAAGGUUUUCGGAUUGUAAAGUGCUUUCAGCAGGGAGGAAAAAAAUGACGGUACCUGCAGAAGAAGCGACGGCUAAAUACGU